Molecule: ribosomal RNA, 254 nt
Filed under: uncultured bacterium
Lineage: Bacteria
Description: partial 16S ribosomal RNA
Rfam family: Bacterial small subunit ribosomal RNA
Source: RNAcentral
UACGGGGGGAGCAAGCGUUGUUCGGAUUUACUGGGCGUAAAGGGCGCGUAGGCGGCCACCGCAAGUCAAUUGUGAAAUCUCCGGGCUUAACUCGGAAAGGUCAACUGAUACUGCGGGGCUAGAGUGCGGAAGGGGCAACUGGAAUUCACGGUGUAGCAGUGAAAUGCGUAGAUAUCGUGAGGAACACCUGUGGCGAAGGCGGCCCCCUGGUUGGAUACUGACGCUGAGACGCGAAAGCGUGGGGAGCAAACAGG